This 497-nucleotide ribosomal RNA is filed under the name uncultured bacterium. Its description in RNAcentral is "partial 16S ribosomal RNA". It matches the Rfam family "Bacterial small subunit ribosomal RNA", at positions 28 to 507 of the family's 1533-position model. The record is from RNAcentral.
GAUGAACGCUGGCGGCGUGCCUAAUACAUGCAAGUCGAGCGAACAGACGAGGAGCUUGCUCCUCUGACGUUAGCGGCGGACGGGUGAGUAACACGUGGAUAGCCUACCUAUAAGACUGGGAUAACUUCGGGAAACCGGAGCUAAUACCGGAUAAUAUAUUGAACCGCAUGGUUCAAUAGUGAAAGACGGUUUUGCUGUCACUUAUAGAUGGAUCCGCGCCGCAUUAGCUAGUUGGUAAGUUAACGGCUUACCAAGGCAACGAUGCGUAGCCGACCUGAGAGGGUGAUCGGCCACACUGGAACGGAGCCACGGUCCAGACCCCUACGGGAGGCAGCAGUGGGGAAUCUUCCGCAAUGGGCGAAAGCCUGACGGAGCAACGCCGCGUGAGUGAUGAAGGUCUUCGGAUCGUAAAACUCUGUUAUUAGGGAAGAACAAAUGUGUAAGUAACUAUGCACGUCUUGACGGUACCUAAUCAGAAAGCCACGGCUAACUACGUG